This 27-nucleotide non-coding RNA is filed under the name Rattus norvegicus (Norway rat). Lineage: Eukaryota; Metazoa; Chordata; Mammalia; Rodentia; Muridae. The record is from RNAcentral.
UGGGUGACUGUCCUCACAGACGAGCAA